RNAcentral lists this unclassified non-coding RNA (565 nucleotides) under Zea mays. RNAcentral describes it as "misc RNA Zm00001eb061340". The record is from RNAcentral. Lineage: Eukaryota; Viridiplantae; Streptophyta; Magnoliopsida; Poales; Poaceae.
GAAGAAGCUCUUAGAAGACCAGCGUUGUCGCUCGCCAGGAGAGGAGGAGGAGGAGGCCGCUCUACGGAAGAAGAAGACGACGCUGCGCUGCGCGGCGACGGACGACUGGUCGGUGGGUGUCAUGAGAAGGUCGGCCGUGUCCGUGAGGCGGGCGGCGCCAGCGGCAUUGGCCAUCUUGUUCGGAGCGCUCCUUCUGGUGUCGUUCGUCGUGGACGGCGUCAGGAAAGCGGCUCCGCCGGCGGCGAUCGGCGGGAGGAGGAUGAUGCUGGGCGGAGGCGCCGGAGGGCUGAGGACCCUGGAGGAUUUCAAGGCUCAUGAUCCCUUCCAGGACAGCAAGAGAAGGGUGCCCAAUGGCCCUGAUCCUAUCCACAACAGAGGAACCGGCAAGUCAGGACGAUCGCCGGGACGAGCAUGACGUCGGGAGCGCGCAUGCCGAGGCGUGGAAGCUUCCGAACCCGAAGAGGCCGGCGAUAGCGACGUGUUGGGAGCGGCGGCUAGCAAACAGAAGAUGCGUUGCGUUGCAUACUUGCAUUGCAUGGAGGAAGAGGAACAGACAAGAGGUGCA